AAGUCAUUUCAAAGAGAGCUUGGAUGGCUACGAAACCAGAGCUCUGGUUAUAAUAAGAUUAAAAUUUUCCAUAGGAUGCUGUAGUCACACAAUAGUGCUGUGUUUUCUUGAGGAGGUAGAAGA
Aotus nancymaae (Ma's night monkey) is the source of this 123-nucleotide small nucleolar RNA. NCBI's taxonomy places the organism in Eukaryota, Metazoa, Chordata, Mammalia, Primates, Aotidae. The record is from Ensembl.